GACGAACGCUGGCGGCGUGCUUAACACAUGCAAGUCGAACGGUGACGAGGAGCUUGCUCCUCCGAUCAGUGGCGAACGGGUGAGUAACACGUGAGUAACCUGCCCCAGACCCUGGGAUAACAGUUGGAAACAGCUGCUAAUACCGGAUACGAGACGGAGAGGCAUCUCUACCGUCUGGAAAGAUUUAUCGGUCUGGGAUGGACUCGCGGCCUAUCAGCUUGUUGGUGAGGUAAAGGCUCACCAAGGCGACGACGGGUAGCCGGCCUGAGAGGGCGACCGGCCACACUGGGACUGAGACACGGCCCAGACUCCUACGGGAGGCAGCAGUGGGGAAUAUUGCACAAUGGGCGAAAGCCUGAUGCAGCGACGCCGCGUGAGGGAUGACGGCCUUCGGGUUGUAAACUGCUUUUGUACGGAACGAAAAGACUCUUUCUAAUACAGAGGGUCCAUGACGGUACCGUAAGAAUAAGCACCGGCUAACUACGUG
Molecule: ribosomal RNA, 487 nt
Filed under: uncultured bacterium
Lineage: Bacteria
Description: bacterial SSU rRNA
Rfam family: Bacterial small subunit ribosomal RNA
Source: RNAcentral